RNAcentral lists this long non-coding RNA (366 nucleotides) under Gallus gallus (chicken). Its description in RNAcentral is "lncRNA (ENSGALG00010016088.1)". Lineage: Eukaryota; Metazoa; Chordata; Aves; Galliformes; Phasianidae. The record is from RNAcentral.
CUGACAACUUCGCAGGGCUUAGAGACUGGUGUGGGGACAUGGGAAUCUGCCAGCAGCUUAUACACAGGUGGAUGACGGCAUUCAAAGUGGGCUGCACUGCUGUCUGGAAGAGGCUCAGCAUCUCCUGGUGCCAAGUGCAGGGCUGGGGCCAGCAGUGUCUGGGGGCAAGCCUCGUGCCUGCUUUUUGUGGCUGACCAUGGACAGCUCUUCCGCAUCUUUCUGGUCAGAGGCACCCUGUGAAUCUCCCAGAGGGGAGAUGUAAAAGCUCUGCACACUCAGCCCAUCAACACCAAAUCCACCAGCAACACAUCAGCUCGCCCCGAUGAGAUAAGGCAGAGAUCACCUGUCCAAUAAAAUCAUUAAGCA